Molecule: transfer RNA, 71 nt
Organism: Stereum hirsutum FP-91666 SS1
Lineage: Eukaryota; Fungi; Basidiomycota; Agaricomycetes; Russulales; Stereaceae
Rfam family: tRNA
About the family: Transfer RNA (tRNA) molecules are approximately 80 nucleotides in length. Their secondary structure includes four short double-helical elements and three loops (D, anti-codon, and T loops).
Source: Rfam
GCCCUUGUAGUCUACUUGGCAAAACCUUGCGAUUUAUCGUGAGGUCGUGGGUUCAAUUCCCGCCAUGGGUA